RNAcentral lists this transfer RNA (85 nucleotides) under Candidatus Lindowbacteria bacterium RIFCSPLOWO2_12_FULL_62_27. Its description in RNAcentral is "tRNA-Leu". It matches the Rfam family "tRNA". Rfam says of the family: Transfer RNA (tRNA) molecules are approximately 80 nucleotides in length. Their secondary structure includes four short double-helical elements and three loops (D, anti-codon, and T loops). Further hydrogen bonds mediate the characteristic L-shaped molecular structure. tRNAs have two regions of fundamental functional importance: the anti-codon, which is responsible for specific mRNA codon recognition, and the 3' end, to which the tRNAs corresponding amino acid is attached (by aminoacyl-tRNA synthetases). tRNAs cope with the degeneracy of the genetic code in two manners: having more than one tRNA (with a specific anti-codon) for a particular amino acid; and 'wobble' base-pairing, i.e. permitting non-standard base-pairing at the 3rd anti-codon position. The record is from RNAcentral. Lineage: Bacteria; Candidatus Lindowiibacteriota.
GCCGGAGUGGCGGAACGGCAGACGCGCUAGACUCAAAAUCUAGUCCGGGUCACCCCGGGUGUGGGUUCAAGUCCCUCCUCCGGCA